AUAAGACAUGCAAGUCGAACGGAACAUUAUGAGUAGCAAUACGAGUGGUGUUAGUGGCGAACGGGUGCGUACACGUGGAUACAUUCCGGGAAGCGGGGGAUAGCCCAGGGAAACUUGGAUUAAUACCGCAUGUGAUCGAAAGAUCAAAGACGGGGGACCGCAAGGCCUGUCACUUCCCCGAUUGGGUCCGCGGCCUAUCAGCUAGUUGGCGGGGUAAAAGCCCACCAAGGCUACGACGGGUAGCUGGUCUUAGAGGACGACCAGCCACACUGGAACUGAGACACGGUCCAGACACCUACGGGUGGCAGCAGUCGAGAAUCUUUCACAAUGGGGGCAACCCUGAUGGAGCGACGCCGCGUGGAGGAUAAGGUCUUCGGAUUGUAAACUCCUGUCAUGCGCGAACAAGGUUGCAGGGAUAAUACCUUUGCAAAUUGAUGGUACCGCAAGAGGAAGAGACGGCUAACUCUGUGCCAGCAGCCGCGGUAAUACAGAGGUCUCAAGCGUUGUUCGGAAUCACUGGGCG
Molecule: ribosomal RNA, 523 nt
Filed under: uncultured bacterium
Lineage: Bacteria
Description: bacterial SSU rRNA
Rfam family: Bacterial small subunit ribosomal RNA
Source: RNAcentral